UGGAUAAACCGGAAAACCUUCCCCAGCUUUAUCUAAAAAAGCAUUAUCUAAAAAGCAUUGCCUCAUAAAAGCAUUGUCUCAAAAAACAAAGAGCUUUCCUUAAAGCUUUUGAUGAGAGCUUAUUUGCGUAGACCGCCAGAAGGCUUGGGAUCAUCAUCUGAAGAAAGAGA
This 170-nucleotide unclassified non-coding RNA is filed under the name uncultured Bartonella sp. Its description in RNAcentral is "partial 16S-23S ribosomal RNA intergenic spacer". The record is from RNAcentral. Lineage: Bacteria; Pseudomonadati; Pseudomonadota; Alphaproteobacteria; Hyphomicrobiales; Bartonellaceae.